AGUGAACGCUGGCGGUAGGCCUAACACAUGCAAGUCGAACGGCAGCACAGUAAGAGCUUGCUCUUACGGGUGGCGAGUGGCGGACGGGUGAGGAAUACAUCGGAAUCUACUUUUUCGUGGGGGAUAACGUAGGGAAACUUACGCUAAUACCGCAUACGACCUACGGGUGAAAGCGGGGGAUCUUCGGACCUUGCGCGAUUGAAUGAGCCGAUGUCGGAUUAGCUAGUUGGCGGGGUAAAGGCCCACCAAGGCGACGAUCCGUAGCUGGUCUGAGAGGAUGAUAGGCCACAUGGGAACUGAGACAGGGUCCAGACGCCUAAGGGAGGCAGCAGUGGGGAAUAGUGGACAAUGGGCGCAAGCAUGAUCCAGCCAGACCGCGUGGGUGAAGAAGGCGUUCGGGUUGGAAAGACGUUUUGUUGGGAAAGAAAAGCAGCAGGUUAAUACCCCGCGGGUCUGACGGUACCCAAAGAAUAAGCACCGGCUAACUUCGUG
Molecule: ribosomal RNA, 492 nt
Filed under: uncultured bacterium
Lineage: Bacteria
Description: partial 16S ribosomal RNA
Rfam family: Bacterial small subunit ribosomal RNA
Source: RNAcentral